Molecule: non-coding RNA, 345 nt
Organism: Hydrogenobacter thermophilus TK-6
Lineage: Bacteria; Pseudomonadati; Aquificota; Aquificia; Aquificales; Aquificaceae
Rfam family: transfer-messenger RNA
About the family: Bacterial tmRNA, also known as 10Sa RNA or SsrA, is named for its dual tRNA and mRNA-like properties. Its role is to liberate the mRNA from a stalled ribosome.
Source: Rfam
GGGGGCGAAUGGAUUCGACGGGGACAGUAGGCAGAGAGUAGCAGGCAGGGUGGCAACCUCAACAGCCAAAGCAAACAUUUCCCGAAGCUGAGCUCGCUCUCGCUGCCUAACUAAAGGCAGCGGCUCACCGGUGGCUGCACCUCUGGGUUGCCGGAUGGGUUCAGAAACAGAGGUGUAGGGAGAAGGUGUUGUGGGGUGCACCUCUUCCGAAAGCUAAACCCCACCUGCCUCUGGAGGUUUGCAGGUGGACAUCCGGAGGUCAGUACCAAAACACCUGCUAAGCCUGUAGAAGCUCCCUUGCCGGGCUGUCCUCGGACGGGAGUUCGAUUCUCCCCGCCUCCACCA